GCUCUCUUCCAUUAAAAGUCUGCUUCUAUGAAAGCUUUACUUCUACAGUUUCAUACCUGUCACUACUAUCAUUCCACAGUAACAGAAAUCAUUAGUGAGGAGUAACACAAUCAGUGAAGAUGUUUUGGUUAGAUGCUAUUCUUCCAUUAAGAACUAUCGUUAAUUCUCAGUAUCACUUCUUCUUAAAUUUGUAUGAAAAUUUUAACCCAAGUCUUCAUUUAAACUUCACGAAUAAUUGAGGGUUUUGUUGUUUGCAGAUUUGGGUUUGAUGUUGAAGUUUUUUCUUACAAGGAGAGAAAGAGAUUCUUAACGACAAAAGAGAUUAGAGGAUCAGAGUAAGAGAUACGAAAGAAGAUGAGUGAUGUAUGGGGUUGGUCCUGUUACGUCAUUCCAAAGCGUAUGUCGUUGAAGCCAAAGAAAGAAGUCACUGCAACUAAGCGAAUAACUAUUUCUGGUUGUCGUGAGUGCGUGUUCUAUGUAGGAGUAAAUUAGCGACGCCGACCAUUAAUUUGUGGGGAAUCUUAAGUUGCAGGUAUCCCCAUGAAAUACUUUCUAUUCACAGCUGGAAGAGCACCUGAGCCAAGUUCGUGUCAAUACAACUACCAACAAACGGAACGACGUCCGUGUUCUACGUGUGGUGGAUCCACACUUGCUUCCUCCUUGUGAUAUUGUUCUGCUAUGUCAAGAAUGUCAAUCUCUAAUCAAAAAUCAUGAGCCAAGUUACAGCUUCACAGUAAGGGAAUAACUUAAAUACAACUCUAUAGGUUAGACCAACUUCCAUCUUUGUUCUUUUAGUUUCUUUUUUUCGCAGCUGUUAAACUAUGCAGAAUUUACAUGUGUCUGUAUCUAGGUAUAUGCUUAAUAAUUUCCCAAUUUAGAAGCAUUUUCUUUUCAAAAUGCUUCUCGCACUCGUAUUGCACUUAUUUCAGAAGGUUGGGCUGACUGAGAAACUGUACAGUUGGAAUCUCUGAUUAAUGAAAAGUAAAUUUAGUGGAUCAAAGAUUGUAGGUAUUGGAUAAUACACGAUCCGCCAUAUUUUGAGCAGAGUGCAAGUUGAAUAUCACAGGCUUAGCUGUCAAAACAAGCAGUAUUCAUAUAGCUAGGGCAGGUUCGAUAUCCAUUUCUAGCAAGGACUAGAGGUUUUGUUGUACUUGGCUACAUAAUUCAUUAUGUCAUUCCAGGGCUUUAAAAGGACUUGUACUUGAGCAGAUUAGAACCACGUCCUCCAAGUGACGCGAAGUACUUGCAUGGUAUUACUCAAAUCCAUUGCACGCAUUGAGAAGCACAUCUCAGGCACCAUCGAGGCACAACAAUUAUUAUCAGAUUGUUUCAUCAAACAACAUGCACAUUGAGAAGCAGUUCCAUAAGUUGUAUGUAGAAGUCAACCUGUUCAACCUGUGGUUCUUCAAGUAUCAGAUUAAAAUGUAAGUGCAGAUUGUAAGUGAAGUGAUUAAAAUGCAAACUUAAGUUGUUCUAAGGGUUUAUACUCAGUUUCGUUGCAAGUAUCAGUUGGAUGGCUUUUUUCAGAACUGUUUCCAAUUGGCAUUCAUCACUUGGACAUGAGUUCGGGUCUCCUGAGGUGACGAAGAUUGUCACAGACCGUAUGCAUAAUUUUCUGCUCUUUCAUAUGCUCCAACAGAGGAAGUGCAUCCUUAACUGUAAGCAAUUCUUUUGAUUUAUCUAGGUAUUGUAUGUAAUAAACAAACAUAGCCGCACCAGCACAAUGUAAGAAACAAGAACAUAUUUACAUAUGCAAUCUUUCAGUUGUACAAUUUGACACCUGAUUUUCUUAAUGCAACUUGUAACAUGUCUUUGA
Papaver somniferum (opium poppy) is the source of this 1816-nucleotide long non-coding RNA. RefSeq lists it as uncharacterized. The transcript is spliced from 8 exons. The record is from RefSeq and is a predicted model, not a curated record. Lineage: Eukaryota; Viridiplantae; Streptophyta; Magnoliopsida; Ranunculales; Papaveraceae.